This 468-nucleotide ribosomal RNA is filed under the name uncultured bacterium. Its description in RNAcentral is "partial 16S ribosomal RNA". It matches the Rfam family "Bacterial small subunit ribosomal RNA", at positions 28 to 507 of the family's 1533-position model. The record is from RNAcentral.
GACGAACGCUGGCGGCGUGCUUAACACAUGCAAGUCGAACGGAAAGGCCCUGCUUUCGUGGGGUGCUCGAGUGGCGAACGGGCGAGUAACACGUGAGUAACCUGCCCUUGACUUUGGGAUAACUUCAGGAAACUGGGGCUAAUACCGGAUAGGAGCUCCUGCUGCAUGGUGGGGGUUGGAAAGUUUCGGCGGUUGGGGAUGGACUCGCGGCUUAUCAGCUUGUUGGUGGGGUAGUGGCUUACCAAGGCUUUGACGGGUAGCCGGCCUGAGAGGGUGACCGGCCACAUUGGGACUGAGAUACGGCCCAGACUCCUACGGGAGGCAGCAGUGGGGAAUAUUGCACAAUGGGCGGAAGCCUGAUGCAGCAACGCCGCGUGCGGGAUGACGGCCUUCGGGUUGUAAACCGCUUUCGCCUGUGACGAAGCGUGAGUGACGGUAAUGGGUAAAGAAGCACCGGCUAACUACGUG